AUAGGUAUAAAUUAAUUUGCUGUCCAAGAAGAAUUAUAUGCUAAAGGUUCAGACUGUCAGUAUAAAUAGAUUUCUAAUGAUGUGAAGAGACCUACGGAUAAAGACACACCUUUCAAAUGAUUCAGAGAAUGGCAAGAGUUUUAAAAAUAUUGCUAUAAUAUAUAUACAUGGCCCAUACCAGACUCAACUAGGAAGGAAUCACCUCCGAAUGUAUUUUGCAGAUUUUUCAUUUCCAUGAAAUUUAUUUAAGUGGCAGAAAGUGACAGCAUGGUGGAGAUGAUGCAAUCAGCUUCCCAUUGGGGAAAAAGUCAGUGAAGAGACUGAAUCUCUGGAGAUCUGGAAGCCAACUAUGGGACAGCACUAACAACUUCCAAUGGGAAUUUUAUCCUGCCUUCUUUGUCCAGAUGGUUCACUGCAGUGAUGGAAGGACUCACAGAGGGGGUUUAUGGGGGUGUGGGGUGGGCAGCUUUCCUCAAGGCAAGAAGAAACAACAACAAUGGGGGAUCCUUCCUAUACCAACUGGGGCACAGAAGACCUCAAAAAGAAGAAUCCAAACUGAUGUCUAAUCUCACCAGGGUGCUGUCUCUCACAAUGCUCAACUGAACUCAAACACUGACUUUCCCUUGAUGUGAAUAAUUAUAAACACACUCUGCCACAA
This is a long non-coding RNA of Antechinus flavipes (yellow-footed antechinus), 658 nucleotides long. RefSeq lists it as uncharacterized. NCBI's taxonomy places the organism in Eukaryota, Metazoa, Chordata, Mammalia, Dasyuromorphia, Dasyuridae. The transcript has 2 exons. The record is from RefSeq and is a predicted model, not a curated record.